This 234-nucleotide unclassified non-coding RNA is filed under the name plant metagenome. Its description in RNAcentral is "partial contains small subunit ribosomal RNA, internal transcribed spacer 1, and 5.8S ribosomal RNA". The record is from RNAcentral.
UUUCCGUAGGUGAACCUGCGGAAGGAUCAUUACUGAUUGAGGGCCCUCUGGGUCCAACCUCACACCCGUGUUUAUUGUACCUUGUUGCUUCGGUGCGCCCGCCUCACGGCCGCCGGCGGGCUUCUGCCCCCGGUUCCGCGCGCACGGGAUACACCAUUGAAAUCUGUCUGAAGAUUGCAGCCUGAGCAUAAUCUAAAUAAUUUAAAACUUUCAACAACGGAUCUCUUGGUUCCG